UCUUUGAAACCAUACCCCAAAAUACAAGUAGCAAGCUCAAGUCGAUUUACUGAACCAUAAAGAAAGGAAAAGAAGAAAACUGGCUCAUUGUUACAAAUCACUUCCUACUGUGGAUUAGAAGUCUUCUUAUUUUCUGCUUUUCAUCUAAAUUCAACAUCAUGAUGCUGCAAUACAAUCAAAAGAAAAUGCUGUAAAUAUAAAAAUGUUAAUUUAAAGCUAUACACAUACCAGGUUCAAAGAAGAUGCAAGCCACAUGUCAGUGGGAUUGCCUGGGUUCAUCUGGACAGUCCAGCUCAUACAACAAGCAGGCCGGUGACUCUUUAGGCAAAUGCGAAUGUUUUAUAGAUUAAAUAAAUCAUCUUUCCGUUUUUUUAAGAUUAUUAAAUAUUCUGCAGAAAAAUCCGA
Gorilla gorilla gorilla (western lowland gorilla) is the source of this 405-nucleotide long non-coding RNA. RefSeq lists it as uncharacterized. The transcript is spliced from 2 exons. NCBI's taxonomy places the organism in Eukaryota, Metazoa, Chordata, Mammalia, Primates, Hominidae. The record is from RefSeq and is a predicted model, not a curated record.